Molecule: ribosomal RNA, 497 nt
Filed under: uncultured bacterium
Lineage: Bacteria
Description: partial 16S ribosomal RNA
Rfam family: Bacterial small subunit ribosomal RNA
Source: RNAcentral
GAUGAACGCUGGCGGCGUGCCUAAUACAUGCAAGUCGAGCGAACAGACGAGGAGCUUGCUCCUCUGACGUUAGCGGCGGACGGGUGAGUAACACGUGGAUAACCUACCUAUAAGACUGGGAUCACUUCGGGAAACCGGAGCUAAUACCGGAUAAUAUAUUGAACCGCAGGGUUCAAUAGUGAAAGACGGUUGUGCUGUCACUUAUAGAUGGAUCCGCGCCGCAUUAGCUAGUUGGUAAGGUAACGGCUUACCAAGGCAACGAUGCGUAGCCGACCUGAGAGGGUGAUCGGCCACACUGGAACUGAGCCACGGACCAGGCUCCUACGGGAGGCAGCAGUAGGGAAUCUUACGCAAUGGGCGAAAGCCUGACGGAGCAACGCCGCGUGAGUGAUGAAGGUCUUCGGAGCGUAAAACUCUGUUAUUAGGGAAGAACAAAUGUGUAAGUAACUAUGCACGUCUUGACGGUACCUAAUCAGAAAGCCACGGCUAACUACGUG